RNAcentral lists this unclassified non-coding RNA (273 nucleotides) under Scutellinia subhirtella. Its description in RNAcentral is "partial internal transcribed spacer region". The stretch from base 1 to 46 matches the Rfam family "Eukaryotic small subunit ribosomal RNA", at positions 1786 to 1831 of the family's 1831-position model. RNAcentral also lists the same sequence under 1 other name. The record is from RNAcentral. Lineage: Eukaryota; Fungi; Ascomycota; Pezizomycetes; Pezizales; Pyronemataceae.
AAGUCGUAACAAGGUUUCCGUAGGUGAACCUGCGGAAGGAUCAUUAAAAGUAAAUAUGUAUUCUCUCGAAUAUACAUUUUCAAACCCAUCUGCGUACGUUACCCGUUGCUUCCGCGAGGCAGUGAUCCCGGUCACCUCCAGACGAUGCCGAAAGGCCAUCCGACGGGGAGCACUCGCGAAAGGUAUACAUCAAACCCUUGCAAUUUCAUGCCAUCUGUCUGAACCUGUUUAUAACAAAUGUUAAAACUUUCAACAACGGAUCUCUUGGUUCUC